This 253-nucleotide ribosomal RNA is filed under the name uncultured bacterium. RNAcentral's name for it is "partial 16S ribosomal RNA". It matches the Rfam family "Bacterial small subunit ribosomal RNA", at positions 524 to 776 of the family's 1533-position model. The record is from RNAcentral.
UACGGAGGAUCCGAGCGUUAUCCGGAUUUACUGGGUUUAAAGGGUGCGUAGGCGGCUCCCUCAGUCAGCGGUGAAAUGUGCAGGCUCAACCUGCAACCUGCCGUUGAUACUGGGGAGCUUGAGUUGGGUUGAGGCAGGCGGAAUGUGCGGUGUAGCGGUGAAAUGCAUAGAUAUCGCACAGAACGCCGAUUGCGUAGGCAGCUUGCCAAGCCCACACUGACGCUGAGGCACGAAAGCGUGGGGAUCAAACAGG